ACGGAGGGUGCAAGCGUUAUCCGGAUUUACUGGGUUUAAAGGGUGCGUAGGUGGACUUUUAAGUCAGUGGUGAAAUCCCGAGGCUCAACCUCGGAACUGCCAUUGAUACUAUUAGUCUUGAAUACUGCGGAGGUUUGCGGAAUACAUCAUGUAGCGGUGAAAUGCUUAGAUAUGAUGUAGAACACCGAUUGCGAAGGCAGCAAACUACACAGUUAUUGACACUAAGGCACGAAAGCGUGGGGAGCGAACAGG
Molecule: ribosomal RNA, 252 nt
Filed under: uncultured bacterium
Lineage: Bacteria
Description: partial 16S ribosomal RNA
Rfam family: Bacterial small subunit ribosomal RNA
Source: RNAcentral